GCAUGUCCAAGGAACCCAGCCGUCCGUGCAACCACGAGAUGGCACGCAGCGCAUCGACAAUGACUUUGGGCGAUUCAGUUCCAUACUUGUAUAGUUGUAUCCUGUGCCAAACACUGAGGUAAAAUUAGUGUGGGCAUUCGGUUUAAACCGUCGGUUCGGUGUGUCCGGUAUUUGAAAGUUUCGGUGUGCAAAAAAGGAAACUGAUCGGUCCGGAUUGAAAACAAA
Molecule: long non-coding RNA, 225 nt
Filed under: Setaria italica (foxtail millet)
Lineage: Eukaryota; Viridiplantae; Streptophyta; Magnoliopsida; Poales; Poaceae
Description: long non-coding RNA (SITA_LNC001627)
Source: RNAcentral